RNAcentral lists this ribosomal RNA (452 nucleotides) under uncultured bacterium. RNAcentral describes it as "bacterial SSU rRNA". It matches the Rfam family "Bacterial small subunit ribosomal RNA", at positions 335 to 801 of the family's 1533-position model. The record is from RNAcentral.
ACUCCUACGGGAGGCAGCAGUGGGAAUCUUGGACAAUGGGGGCAACCCGUGCAUCCAGCCAUGCCGCGUGAGUGAUGAAGGCCUUAGGGUCGUAAAGCUCUUUCGCCUGUGAUGAUAAUGACAGUAGCAGGUAAAGAAACCCCGCGUAACAUCCGUGCCAGCAGCCGCGGUAAUACGGAGGGGGUUAGCGUUGUUCGGAAUUUACUGGGCGUAAAGCGCGCGUAGGCGGAUUAGUCAGUUAGAGGUGAAAUCCCAGGGCUCAACCCUGGAACUGCCUUUAAUACUGCUAGUCUUGAGUUCGAGAGAGGUGAGUGGAAUUCCGAGUGUAGAGGUGAAAUUCGUAGAUAUUCGGAGGAACACCAGUGGCGAAGGCGGCUCACUGGCUCGAUACUGACGCUGAGGUGCGAAAGUGUGGGGAGCAAACAGGAUUAGAUACCCUGGUAGGCUCUGCU